AUGGUGACUCUUCGAGUGAAGCGCCAUAAUUAUAGAAGUAUAAAAAUUGAGGCAGCACAUGAGAAUUAUUUAAAACAUUCUAUUCCAAGGAUCCCUUGGUUAUUAGCGCACCAUAUCUGAAGCCGGCAUGGGGCAAAGCGCACAUUUUUUGUAAUGAUUAUGGAUUACUAUGACAAUCAAAAGUUGAUAUGUGUACCACAUU
Molecule: long non-coding RNA, 202 nt
Filed under: Elaeis guineensis (African oil palm)
Lineage: Eukaryota; Viridiplantae; Streptophyta; Magnoliopsida; Arecales; Arecaceae
Description: long non-coding RNA (EGUI_LNC037433)
Source: RNAcentral